GGUGCACGAUGGGAAAUGUAGUGCGAGCAGCGGAAGAGGGACGCGGAGGGGAGAGGCCGGCGGGAUGCGCAAAACUACAACUCCCAGCAGCCCGCGCGACGCUCUGCAUUUCGCCUCAGGGGGCCUGCAACCAGAGCUGCCAGAGGUGACUGCAGCCCAACACAGAGCAAACCACGCAGCACUACACUUCCCAUCAGCUCCAGCUUCACCCCGGAGGCUUUUGGACCCAAUGCCACCUACUUCCUCGUGUCAUUCUUAUUUUUUCCUGUCUCUCUCACGUGUCUCCACAUAAGGAUGUGUCGUCCAUAGCAACAUGAUGUAAUCUCGAGCCCAACAGGCAAGUUAAAGCAACGCCCCAACAGCCUGAUGCCAGCACGUUUGUCCAGAUCUCACAAUAGCUGACAAGGGAAUUUACACCCUCAGGGAAUUUGCACCUGACAGUCAGCAUGAAGCACAGCUCCUGCUCUUCGUACCUUUGCUGUUCGUUUCCUUGUUCUCCUUUAUGUUUUAUUUACAAGGGAGAGCCAAGGCUCAGCGUAACAGGAGCCUCUAAAAGCCUCAUUUCCCACCAAAAAUAAAAAAGAAAAAGGACGAUACCUAUAUUAAAUACCUUUCUAAGGCUGCCAAAUGGGAAUGCUUCUUACUAGAACUCUGUACCUCUUUGGAAAGGCAAUAAGAGGGACUGUUAAAAUUGAGCUUUGUAUUUCAAAUGCUUCAAUUUUUGGCCUUUUUUUUUUUUUUCUCAUGUGUUUACUGAGAGCUUUAAGUUAUUCUGAAGAGGGAUUUUAUGCCAUCGGAGCAAGCAGGCUGUAACUGUGUGAUACCUUCACACCCCGUGUUAUCAGUGCUCACCCUCCUAGAUGCAAUUAACAGCAGGAUUUGACUAUCGUCGCUGAUACUUAGAUAAGAGAAUUACCAAUCCAUCACUUUAUCUCUGCUCCUCCCUGAAGAACAGAUAAAACAGAAGAUAAAAGCUUUCACCUGUUCUUUCUUUCAUGGGAAUGAUUGCAGUGUGAAGGGGUUGAAAGCUCUCCGUGGGAUCUCAUAGUCCGUCCCAAGUCAGAGUGUGAUCUGCCUUCCCAGUGUGUGCUUAACUGGCCCCAAGGGAGAGCAGUGAAGAAGAAGCCAUCGUGAUGCUGACACUGGACCAAGGCAUGUUGCUUCUUUCCCAGCAAUCCACAUAGGAUAGUGUGCCACAUACAGAGCAGCAUCAAACGGUCUGGGGCCUAAAAACUGAGUAAAAUGCCCCAUGGCCAGAGAGAAAUACAAGAAGAAUGGCUGAGCUCACAACGAUGUCGCUGCGCAUCAGAAGGAAAAACCAUCUGUAUGGUCGUGUUAGCAUCCCCGGGGACCUGGCACCACAGAGCAAACCCUCACCCGUGACAAACAGGAUUAGCCCUGCGCCGGAGAGCCUCAGCACAGGCCCAGAGCCAAGUGGAGAAGAAGCAGAUGCAACUCGUCUCAAGAACCACCACGUCCUUUAAUUCCCCACCAGUGAAGCGGGGCUCAGCCUGGCUCUGAAAUCACAGCUUUUAGCCCCAGAAAAACCCACGC
This is a long non-coding RNA of Gallus gallus (chicken), 1554 nucleotides long. RefSeq lists it as uncharacterized. The record is from RefSeq and is a predicted model, not a curated record. The transcript has 4 exons. NCBI's taxonomy places the organism in Eukaryota, Metazoa, Chordata, Aves, Galliformes, Phasianidae.